CACCCAGACUCCUACGGGAGGCAGCAGUGAGGAAUAUUGGUCAAUGGGCGGGAGCCUGAACCAGCCAAGUCGCGUGAGGGAUGACGGCCCUAUGGGUUGUAAACCUCUUUUGCCGGGGAGCAAAAAGCGGUACGUGUACCGCAUCGAGAGUACCCGGAGAAAAAGCAUCGGCUAACUCCGUGCCAGCAGCCGCGGUAAUACGGAGGAUGCGAGCGUUAUCCGGAUUUAUUGGGUUUAAAGGGUGCGUAGGCGGAAGGUUAAGUCAGCGGUAAAAUGUCGGUGCUCAACACCGGCCUGCCGUUGAAACUGGUCUUCUUGAGUGAGCGAGAAGUAUGCGGAAUGCGUGGUGUAGCGGUGAAAUGCAUAGAUAUCGCGCAGAACUCCGAUUGCGAAGGCAGCAUGCCGGCUCCACACUGACGCUGAGGCACGAAAGCGUGGGUAUCGAACAGGAUUAGAUACCCUUGUA
RNAcentral lists this ribosomal RNA (466 nucleotides) under uncultured bacterium. RNAcentral describes it as "bacterial SSU rRNA". It matches the Rfam family "Bacterial small subunit ribosomal RNA", at positions 328 to 792 of the family's 1533-position model. The record is from RNAcentral.